GCCAGUGACUACAAGUUCAACGGCCGCGGUAUUUUGACCGUGCAAAGGUAGCGCAAUCACUUGUCUUUUAAAUGAAGACCUGUAUGAAUGGCCAAACGAGGGCUUAGCUGUCUCCCCCAUCAAGUCAGUGAAAUUGAUCUACCCGUGCAGAAGCGGGUAUUAACAUACAAGACGAGAAGACCCUUUGGAGCUUAAGGUACAAAUUCACCUACGUUAAACAGCUUCCUAAACAAGCGCAAACCUAAUAGAACAUGGAAUUUUACCUUCGGUUGGGGCGACCACGGAGAACAAAAAAUCCUCCAAGUGGAAUGGGAAUUUCCCUAAAACCAAGAAAGACACUUCCAAGUCACAGAAAAUCUGACCAAAUAUGAUCCGGCCCCCGGACCGAUCAACGAACCAAGUUACCCUAGGGAUAACAGCGCAAUCCCCUCCAAGAGUCCAUAUCGACGAGAGGGUUUACGACCUCGAUGUUGGAUCAGGACAUCCUAAUGGUGCAGCCGCUAUUAAGGGUUCGUUUGUUCAACGAUUAAAGUCCUACGUGAUCUGAGU
Molecule: ribosomal RNA, 549 nt
Filed under: Schistura sp. 'ngachalba'
Lineage: Eukaryota; Metazoa; Chordata; Actinopteri; Cypriniformes; Nemacheilidae
Description: partial 16S ribosomal RNA
Rfam family: Bacterial large subunit ribosomal RNA
Source: RNAcentral